Molecule: ribosomal RNA, 300 nt
Filed under: uncultured Rhodopirellula sp.
Lineage: Bacteria; Pseudomonadati; Planctomycetota; Planctomycetia; Pirellulales; Pirellulaceae
Description: bacterial SSU rRNA
Rfam family: Bacterial small subunit ribosomal RNA
Source: RNAcentral
GGCGAACUGCGGGCGGGGAGCGGGGGGAAUACUGAGGGGGCGAGCGUUGUCCGGAAUUACUGGGCGUAAAGAGCUCGUAGGUGGGUUGUCGCGUCGUCUGUGAAAUACCGGGGCUUAACUUCGGAGCUGCAGGCGAUACGGGCAUAACUUGAGUGCUGUAGGGGAGACUGGAAUUCCUGGUGUAGCGGUGAAAUGCGCAGAUAUCAGGAGGAACACCGAUGGCGAAGGCAGGUCUCUGGGCAGUAACUGACGCUGAGGAGCGAAAGCAUGGGUAGCGAACAGGAUUAGAUACCCGAGAGU